RNAcentral lists this ribosomal RNA (253 nucleotides) under uncultured bacterium. RNAcentral describes it as "partial 16S ribosomal RNA". It matches the Rfam family "Bacterial small subunit ribosomal RNA", at positions 524 to 776 of the family's 1533-position model. The record is from RNAcentral.
UACGGAGGGUGCUAGCGUUGUUCGGAAUCACUGGGCGUAAAGGGCGUGUAGGCGGUCUGUUAAGUCUGAUGUGAAAUCCCCCGGCUCAACUGGGGAACUGCGCGGGAAACUGUGGGGCUUGAGUUCGGGAGAGGGAAGCGGAAUUCCGGGUGUAGCGGUGAAAUGCGUAGAUAUCCGGAGGAACACCGGUGGCGAAGGCGGCUUCCUGGACCGACACUGACGCUGAGGCGCGAAAGCUAGGGGAGCAAACGGG